This 238-nucleotide ribosomal RNA is filed under the name uncultured bacterium. RNAcentral describes it as "partial 16S ribosomal RNA". It matches the Rfam family "Bacterial small subunit ribosomal RNA", at positions 96 to 334 of the family's 1533-position model. The record is from RNAcentral.
CGGCGGACGGGUGAGUAACGCGUGGGUAACCUGCCUCAUACAGGGGGAUAACAGUUGGAAACGGCUGCUAAUACCGCAUAAGCGCACAGUACCGCAUGGUACGGUGUGAAAAACUCCGGUGGUAUGAGAUGGACCCGCGUCUGAUUAGGUAGUUGGUAAGGUAACGGCUUACCAAGGCGACGAUCAGUAGCCGACCUGAGAGGGUGACCGGCCACAUUGGGACUGAGACACGGCCCAA